GAAAUCAGUUAUUACUUAACAUACACAUGCAAGUCUCCGCCCCCCUGUGAGAACGCCCUUAAAUCCCUUCGAGGGAUAAGGAGCUGGUAUCAGGCUCAAAAAUUAGCCCACGACACCUAGCUUCGCCACACCCACACGGGAACUCAGCAGUGAUUAACAUUGAAAAUAAGCGACAGCUUGAAUCAGUUAAAGUAGAGAGAGCCGGCUAAUCUGGUGCCAGCCGCCGCGGUUACACCAUGUGACUCAAACUGACCUCUUUCGGCGUAAAGCGUGAUUAAAGCCCCCCCCACUAACUGCAAUUAAACCAGAACUGAGCUGUAACACGCCUAUUCCUGAGAACCACAUAAACGAAAGUUAUUGCAACCUUAAACUUGAACUCACGACAGCUGGGAAACAAAC
This 399-nucleotide ribosomal RNA is filed under the name Dendropsophus counani. RNAcentral's name for it is "partial 12S ribosomal RNA". Lineage: Eukaryota; Metazoa; Chordata; Amphibia; Anura; Hylidae. The record is from RNAcentral.